Long non-coding RNA from Parus major (Great Tit), 1550 nucleotides. RefSeq lists it as uncharacterized. The transcript has 3 exons. NCBI's taxonomy places the organism in Eukaryota, Metazoa, Chordata, Aves, Passeriformes, Paridae. The record is from RefSeq and is a predicted model, not a curated record.
UUAUUGGGGGUGUGGAAUCCAUGUAAUCCAGGGAUUUAUGAAUACAGAAGGAUUGAAUGUUCCUGGGAAUGGGACAAUUGUUUUCAAGACUCUUCAAGGACAUUGCGUGGCCUGUCUGCUGGGAGUUCCAAGUGUCACUUGUCUCAAUACCUGCGCUUGAACACGUCCCCUGACAUGGAAAUGAUGAGCCACAAACGGCCCCAUCAGUCUGUCUGAACAUUUAACAUCACAGCCCAUGAUCUUUACAGAGAACAAAAUCCAAGGGCUUCACGGAGUUUAUUUCUACUCUGGAAGUGUCCUGAAGCACUGACUGCACAAUUUACGAAGCUCAUCAGGAAGGAACACGGCACAGAACAUCCAGCCUGUGGGAAGCACCCAAAAGUGAGGGAUUUUUCUCUCUCUGAGGAACCUCUCUGUUCAAAUCUCUGUGUCCUACCCCAAAAUGUUUUGUGAAGUUAAGGGUUUUUAUAAAACUAAGGAGAUAAAUUUAGGAUAGCAGUGGUUGCUAUGACCUUUCAUUUGGGGAAAAUGGUUGAGCUCCCAGUCCUCAUUUUUUUAAAAGCCUGGAGUUAUUUUCCUUGGGGAAGGACAAAUUUUCAGUUGCACAUCAUCAAAUAUUGAAUAUAUUUGCCGCUUAUGUAAAAGAGCAUUUUAGCCUGGUGAGAGAGAAGAGAUUAGAACAAGCAGGCUGCAUCCCUAAAUUCAAUUGUUUGCUGGGAGAUGCCACUCAGCCUGGCAAGAGAUUGACACCGUGUCAACUCUGCUUCUCUCAAAUUGCCCUCAAAGGAGGUGCCCUCUAAAUCUGUCCCCGAAAACCGAGGCGGCACCUGAUGAAAUUAGGGAAUUAAACUUCUGGGAAAGUCUUAUCCGAGAGCACGGAGCCCUUUCCAAUGGGAUAAUUUGUUUGAACGUUAAAUUGAGCAAUCUCCCCUCCCCAGAGCUCUGAGGAGCGCUGGAAGGAGCCAGCAGGGAAUCUUCUGCCCCUUCUGGAGGGAAACACCUUUGCUUUUCCUGUUGGUUCCCCGCUCUGUCUUUGACCUCUUGGCCCCUCAUGUAUCCACAGUAAACAGACAGAUUUAGGAGGAUGUUGUUCCUGCAGGUAAAAUUAGCUCCAUGUCACAGGCCGUGGGAUACAUGGUGGCACUCGGCGAGGAGGUGACGGCUCCGGCCCCAGGCAGCCGCGGUUUGACGGCGCUAAGGGGGAAUUUGACGGGAAUUUGAUGAUGGCUGGGAGCAAAUGCCAUCAAUAGCCAAGAGAUCCUGCUGAAACCUUGUUUUCCUAUCAGUCCUUAUCGGGCUGGACACUGCCAGGAGAGGGGUGGGGAUCAGAUCCAGAUUAAACCCCAGGGUUCUCUUAUCGCCUCCCACGCCAAACGCUCCAGCCACAGCCCACCCAGCAGGGCAAGAGUUCAAUAUGAAAAGCGGGAUCAGAAAAAUGAUAACAUGCUUGUGUUCCUUGUAAAUAUCCUUUUCUUUCCUGCCCUGUCUUCCUGCAUUCAGAUCAUAUGAAAAUAUGCUUGGCUUUAGCAAAAAAAUAAAAAAUAUAUGAA